Molecule: small nuclear RNA, 160 nt
Filed under: Oryza punctata
Lineage: Eukaryota; Viridiplantae; Streptophyta; Magnoliopsida; Poales; Poaceae
Description: U1 spliceosomal RNA
Rfam family: U1 spliceosomal RNA
About the family: U1 is a small nuclear RNA (snRNA) component of the spliceosome (involved in pre-mRNA splicing). Its 5' end forms complementary base pairs with the 5' splice junction, thus defining the 5' donor site of an intron. There are significant differences in sequence and secondary structure between metazoan and yeast U1 snRNAs, the latter being much longer (568 nucleotides as compared to 164 nucleotides in human).
Source: Rfam by way of RNAcentral
GCACUUACCUGGACGGGGUCGAUGGGUGAUCAAGAAGAUCCCUGGCCUAGAUUAAUGGCCUACAUUGCACUUGGUAGGUGCGUUGAUCUACCAUCUUCCCAAGUGGGAGAGUGGACGUCAUAAUUUGUGGUGGAGGGGGUACGCGUUCGCGCGGCCCCUG